AAAGGGCCCUAUCGAAGCUGCGAUAUUCAGAAUGUUGAAUAUACGUAGUCAAAAUGAGGCCAAUAUCAAAUUUUCUACAAUAGGUCACUGGAUGUUUAUUUUAAUGAUCAUUCAGUAUUACCCAAGUGGAAAACAACU
Molecule: small nucleolar RNA, 138 nt
Organism: Diorhabda sublineata
Lineage: Eukaryota; Metazoa; Arthropoda; Insecta; Coleoptera; Chrysomelidae
Source: RefSeq, a predicted model, not a curated record